GUCGAGCUCAAUCGAGGGAGACACCAUGACGAGAAUGUCACUUUUGGAGUGGCUCCGAUUGGGUCGUGAUCUUCUUGAAUCAGUGAUGCCAACUGUUGAUCUGGAGGCACACCGAAAAAAUAAACCAGAGAAGAUCACUAACCAUGGCUUCGAACACCUCAUGCAUGUAAGUUUUUCUCUUUUUUUUUUUUACUUCGGUAGAUGUCCAAUCUG
Molecule: long non-coding RNA, 213 nt
Filed under: Elaeis guineensis (African oil palm)
Lineage: Eukaryota; Viridiplantae; Streptophyta; Magnoliopsida; Arecales; Arecaceae
Description: long non-coding RNA (EGUI_LNC018094)
Source: RNAcentral